GACAGAGGUGCCGAGCGUUAGGCGGAAUCACUGGGCUUAAAGCGUGUGUAGGCGGGCCGUUAAGUGCCCCGUGAAAUCCCCCGGCUCAACCGGGGAACGGCGGGGCAUACUGGCGGCCUUGAGCCACUUAAGGGCAGACGGAACAAGCGGUGGAGCGGUGAAAUGCGUAGAUAUCGAGAGGAACACCGGUGGCGAAGGCGGCUAUCUGGACAGUGACUGACGCUGAGACGCGAAAGCGUGGGGAGCAAACAGG
Molecule: ribosomal RNA, 253 nt
Filed under: uncultured bacterium
Lineage: Bacteria
Description: partial 16S ribosomal RNA
Rfam family: Bacterial small subunit ribosomal RNA
Source: RNAcentral